GGACUACCGGGGUAUCUAAUCCUGUUUGCUCCCCACGCUUUCGCGUCUCAGCGUCAGUUACCGUCCAGAUGGCCGCCUUCGCCACCGGUGUUCCUCCCCAUAUCUACGAAUUUCACCUCUACUUGGGGAAUUCCGCCAUCCUCUCCGGCACUCAAGCUCAGCAGUUUCGGGUGCACUUCCUCGGUUGAGCCGAGGGCUUUCACGCCCGACUUGCUAAGCCGCCUACACGCGCUUUACGCCCAAUAAUUCCGAACAACGCUUGCACCCUCUGUAUUACCGCGGCUGCUGGCAC
This 292-nucleotide ribosomal RNA is filed under the name uncultured bacterium. Its description in RNAcentral is "partial 16S ribosomal RNA". The record is from RNAcentral.